AAUAUUCCUGUGUGUCUACGACCACCGUACAUCUGACAACAUCUUACAGCUGACAUUCGUAUUUGUUUUCGGAUUUCUACUUUGGUUUUAUUACCCGGAAACUAAUUCAGAUACGAUUAUUGAUACGACCAUACGAGCCGCCGUGGUGCUGACUCUUAUCCACGUCUGCUUUUCUUGGACUCUUCCUUCAUCUUAGUUUUUAAUUAUUUUCAAUGUCAAUUGAUCAUUCACCCACUCACUGCCAUGUCAUUCGUCUCCAACGGCGAUUAUAAUUUAGCUAACUUUGC
This 287-nucleotide long non-coding RNA is filed under the name Zostera marina. RNAcentral describes it as "long non-coding RNA (ZMAR_LNC003286)". Lineage: Eukaryota; Viridiplantae; Streptophyta; Magnoliopsida; Alismatales; Zosteraceae. The record is from RNAcentral.